GAUGAAGAACGUAGCGAAAUGCGAUAAGUAGUGUGAAUUGCAGAAUUCAGUGAAUCAUCGAAUCUUUGAACGCACAUUGCGCCCCUUGGUAUUCCAUGGGGCAUGCCUGUUCGAGCGUCAUUUGUACCUUCAAGCUUUGCUUGGUGUUGGGAGUUUGUCUCGCCUUUGCGUGUAGACUCGCCUUAAAAUAAUUGGCAGCCGGCGUAUUGAUUUCGGAGCGCAGUACAUCUCGCGCUUUGCACUCAUAACGACAGCGUCCAAAAGUACAUUUUACACUCUUGACCUCGGAUCAGGUAGGGAUACCCGCUGAACUUAAGCAUAUCAAUAAGCGGAGGA
Molecule: unclassified non-coding RNA, 336 nt
Filed under: soil metagenome
Description: partial contains 5.8S ribosomal RNA, internal transcribed spacer 2, and large subunit ribosomal RNA
Rfam family: 5.8S ribosomal RNA (bases 1-120)
Source: RNAcentral